Molecule: ribosomal RNA, 502 nt
Filed under: uncultured bacterium
Lineage: Bacteria
Description: partial 16S ribosomal RNA
Rfam family: Bacterial small subunit ribosomal RNA
Source: RNAcentral
AUUGAACGCUGGCGGCAGGCUUAACACAUGCAAGUCGAGCGGGGUGAUGGUGCUUGCACUAUCACUUAGCGGCGGACGGGUGAGUAAUGCUUAGGAAUCUGCCUAUUAGUGGGGGACAACAUCUCGAAAGGGAUGCUAAUACCGCAUACGUACUACGGGAGAAAGCAGGGGAUCACUUGUGACCUUGCGCUAAUAGAUGAGCCUAAGUCGGAUUAGCUAGUUGGUGGGGUAAAGGCCUACCAAGGCGACGAUCUGUAGCGGGUCUGAGAGGAUGAUCCGCCACACUGGGACUGAGACACGGCCCAGACUCCUACGGGAGGCAGCAGUGGGGAAUAUUGGACAAUGGGGGAAACCUGAUCCAGCCAUGCCGCGUGUGUGAAGAAGGCCUUGUGGUUGUAAAGCACUUUAAGCGAGAAGGAGGCUCUUUUGGUUAAUACCCAAGAUGAGUGGACGUUACUCGCAGAAUAAGCACCGGCUAACCCUGUGCCAGCCGCCGCCGUAA